AAAAAAAUCCUGAGAUGACUUGUGAGUAGGAGCGAAAGACUAAUCAAACCCCGUGAUAGCUGGUUCUCUUCGAAAUCGCUUGAGGGCGAGUGUUGUGAAAGUACCCGUCAGAGGUAGAGCACUGAAUGGCUUAGGGGCCCCACCAGGCUGCCAAAACCAAUCAAACUCCGAAUUCUGACGGUCUCAGUAUCACAGCAAUCAGGCAGUGGGGGAUAAGCUCCAUUGCCGAGAGGGUAACAGCCCAGACCGCCGGCUAAGGUGCCUAAAUACAGUUAAGUGGAAAGGAUGUGACGUUGCUUAAACAGUGAGGAUGUUGGCUUAGAGGCAGCCACCAUUUAAACAGUGCGUAAUAGCUGACUCAUCGAGCGAUGUCGCGCCGAAAAUGAUUGGCGAUUAAAUUGUAUACCGAAGCCGCGGAUGCAUGUUCGGGCGACUGAACAUGCGUGGUAGAAGAGCGUAAUCGAUGCGAUAAAGCCUGACGGUAACGAACGGUGGAGCGUCGAUUAGUGAGAAUGCAGACACGAGUAGCGAUAAACCAAGUGAAAAUCUUGGUCGCCGUAAACCCAAGGUUUCCUGGGCCAGGUUCGUCCUCCCAGGGUUAGCCGGGAGCUAACGCGAGGCCGUAAGGCGUAGCGGAUGCACAGCAGGUUAAAUAUCCCUGCGCCAUCAAGGGUUAAGGCCAAAACACACGCAACGAGAAAACUGACUACCCUAUUGAAUUGGGAGCUUAGGCUUAGGCCAAAGCGUAUCAGCGGACAAGUUGCCGAGAAAAGGUUUUGGUUGUUCUCCUAGAUGCCCGUACCGUAAACCGACACAGGUGGGUGAGUGUAAGUGCACUAAGGCGCGCGAGAGAGACCUCUCUAAGGAACUCGGCACAUUAGCCCCGUAACUUCGGGAAAAGGGGUGCCCAUUUAUGGGCCACAGUAAAUUGCGUUUAGCGACUGUUUAACAAAAACACAGCUCUCUGCUACGUCGUAAGACUAGGUAUAGGGAGUGACAAGUGACCAAUGCGGAAAGAUCAAAGCAUCUUGUUAGCCGUAAGGCGAAGCUCGGUGUCCAAGUCCCCGUGAAUGUCGGCCGUAACUAUAACGGUCCUAAGGUAGCGAAAUUCCUUGUCGGGUAAGUUCCGACCUGCACGAAUCUUGUAACGACUGAACGACUGUCUCGGAGAGGAUCUCGGCGAAACUGUAAUUGCGGUGAAGAUGCCGCAUGCCCGCAGUAGGACGGAAAGACCCUAUGCACCUUUACUGUAAGCUCGUAUUGUGUCUUGAUUAAUGAUGCGUAGCGUAGGUGGGAGACUUUGAAGGGAGUGCUUCGGUGCUCCUGGAGUCGCAAUGUGAAACACCACUCUUUAUUAAUUAGGAUUCUAACCUCGAUCCUGUAAUCCAGGCGGGGGACAGUGCGUGCGGGUCAGUUUGACUGGGGCGGUUUCCUCCCGA
This 1439-nucleotide ribosomal RNA is filed under the name metagenome. RNAcentral's name for it is "bacterial LSU rRNA". It matches the Rfam family "Bacterial large subunit ribosomal RNA", at positions 790 to 2293 of the family's 2925-position model. The record is from RNAcentral.